GCACGAUACUCAAAAUUCAGAGCUUGACUAAUAGGUUUGUGGCCAUCUAAGCUCACAUAUAAAUGUACUAGUCCCGGUGAAUGUGGUGGUACCAGACAGCGAAAAACUCCAGGUUGAACAAAAUCAACAUUAACACUAGUAUCACCGCAUACAACCAAUAUACUGGACUUUGCAAGAUGUACGUAGUCAUUGUGAAAAUAUCCAAUAAUUAGAAUCUUUGUUUUUU
This 226-nucleotide unclassified non-coding RNA is filed under the name Hevea brasiliensis (rubber tree). The record is from RNAcentral. Lineage: Eukaryota; Viridiplantae; Streptophyta; Magnoliopsida; Malpighiales; Euphorbiaceae.